ACUUGAUUAAAAUCAUAACGGUGGAGACAGAAGUUGUAAAAUGCUAAAUCCAGUAUGGUCACUGAACAAUGAAGAUCUACAGGCGUUGAAGAACAAAUGUAUGCCCUUGCAAAGGAGGUGAGGAAACAAACACAAUGAUUCUAAACAGUUAAGGAGAAAGGAAUACGGUAUAAUGUAAAAGAUACAGCUGUUUGUGGGAAUAAAUGUAAUAGACUUAUUCAAUGAAGUCAUU
Molecule: non-coding RNA, 232 nt
Organism: Pelobates cultripes (western spadefoot toad)
Lineage: Eukaryota; Metazoa; Chordata; Amphibia; Anura; Pelobatidae
Source: the annotation of a GenBank genome assembly